UUUAGGGGUGGAUCUGACGUCCCUGAGUGUAUGUGGUGAACCUGAAUUUGCCUUGGGUUUCCUCAUAUUCAUUCAGGAGUGUCAGUUGCCCCUUCA
This 96-nucleotide microRNA precursor is filed under the name Propithecus coquereli (Coquerel's sifaka). RNAcentral describes it as "miRNA (ENSPCOG00000002096.1)". It matches the Rfam family "mir-670 microRNA precursor family". The record is from RNAcentral. Lineage: Eukaryota; Metazoa; Chordata; Mammalia; Primates; Indriidae.